Manis javanica (Malayan pangolin) is the source of this 328-nucleotide non-coding RNA. NCBI's taxonomy places the organism in Eukaryota, Metazoa, Chordata, Mammalia, Pholidota, Manidae. The record is from RefSeq and is a predicted model, not a curated record.
AGUUCCUGAAAAUGCUUGAGCCAUAAAGUUGAACCGGGUGUCUUGUUCUGUUAGUGAGAAGACUUUCGGACCCCAGACUGGUGGAAGGGGAAACUGUUUGGAAGCCGCAAUGAGAAGCAAAGAGAAAACCAACUCUACUUCCAUGUCCAGGGGUCAAGAGCCAGAACCUGCAGAUGUUCGGAUCUCAGAGCUGAGCUUUGCUCUUUGCCGAAGCUUGGAAGAAAAAUGCCAGUGAAAACACCUGGGAUUGGAAUUUUGUCUGUCAGAGAUACUAAGUUAUGGAUGAAAUUUCUUUAAUAGAUGCAAGACUGUUCAGAUUUUGUUAAAU